GCAGUAGUAGCUAUUGUUCCUGGAGCAGUUGUUGUGGUUCCUGCUGCAGUUGUUGUGGUUCCUGCACCGGUUGUUGUGGUUCCUGCACCGGUUGUUGUGGUUCCUGAACCGGUUGCUGUGGUUCCUGCACCGGUUGUUGUGGUUCCUGCACCAGUUGCUGUGGUUCCUGCUGCAGUUGUUGUGGUUCCUGCUGCAGUUGUUGUGGUUCCUGCUGCAGUUGUUGUGGUUCCUGCUGCAGUUGUUGUGGUUCCUGCAGCAGUUGUUGUGGUUCCUGCACCGGUUGUUGUGGUUGUUGUGGUUCCUGCUGCAGUUGUUGUGGUUCCUGCUGCAGUUGUUGUGGUUCCUGCCGCAGUUGUUGUGGUUUCUGCACCAGUUGGUGUGGUUACUGCCCCAGUUGGUGUGGUUACUGCCCCAGUUGUUGUGGUUUCUGCACCAGUUGUUGUAGUUCCUUCUGCAGUUGUUGUGGUUCCUGCAGCAGUUGUUGUGGUUCCUGCACCGGUUGUUGUGGUUCCUACUGCAGUUGUUGUGGUACCUGCAGCAGUUGUUGUGGUUCCUGCAGCAGUUGUUGUGGUUCCUGCAGCAGUUGUUGUGGUUCCUGCAGCAGUUGUUGUGGUUCCUGCAGCAGUUGUUGUGGUUUCUGCACCGGUUGUUGUGGUUCCUGCAGCAGUUGUUUUGGUUCCUGCAGCAGUUGUUGUGGUUCCUGCACCGGUUGUUGUGGUUCCUGCUGCAGUUGUUGUGUUUCCUGCUGCAGUUGUUGUGUUUCCUGCAGCAGUAGUUGUGUUUCCUGCAGCAGUCGUUGUGGUUCCUGCAACAGUCGUUGUGGUUCCUGCAACAGCCGUUGUGGUUCCUGCACCGGUCGUUGUAGUUACUGCUGCAGUUGUUGUGGUUCCUGCACCGGUUGUUGUGGUUCCUGCAGCAGUUGUUGUGGUUGUUGCAGCAGUUGCUGUGGUUGUUGCUGCAGUUGUUGUAGUUACUGCUGCAGCUGUUGUUGAUUCAGCAGUUGUUGUGGUUGUUGCUGCAGUUGUUGUAGUUACUGCUGCAGUUGUUGUGGUUCCUGCACCGGUUGUUGUGGUUCCUGCAGCAGUUGUUGUGGUUGUUGCAGCAGUUGCUGUGGUUGUUGCUGCAGUUGUUGUAGUUACUGCUGCAGCUGUUGUUGAUUCAGCAGUUGUUGUGGUUGUUGCUGCAGUUGUUGUAGUUACUGCUGCAGUUGUUGUGGUUCCCGCACCGGUUGUUGUGGUUCCUGCAGCAGUUGUUGUGGUUGUUGCUGCAGUUGUUGUAGUUACUGCUGCAGCUGUUGUUGAUUCAGCAGUUGUCGUGGUUGUUGCUGCAGUUGUUGUAGUUACUGCUGCAGUUGUUGAGGUUCCAGUAGUUGUUGUUGAUUCCGCAGUUGUUGUUGUUGGUUCAGCAGUUGUUGUUGAUGUUGUAUUCUCAGCACUUAUAGUUACAGGUACAGUAACAAGCAGUAUGGCCACUAUUUGUAAAGAGCAAAAGGAUUAUUGCAUGCAAAUCUAUAUCUAAGAGCUCUAUAUUUUAUGAUUAUAUUAUUAAUGUCAUACUUACGUGUAAUUAUCAGUAAUUUUGACGUAAACCCCAUUGUGUCUCUUCUUGAACCUAUAAUUUGUGACAGUACAAUGACUUUUUCUGGAUCACAGGAUGUAAACAGAACCCUAUAUCAACUUAAUGUUGACUUUGUCUCUUGAUUUUGUGUUUCAUAAUUAUUAAAUCUGUUUUUCUCACUCUUGAAUGUGCAGCUUCUCCUCUGUUUUGGAAUCAUUUCGCAAUUUCAAAUACAGUCUAAACAACAUCAUUGUAAAACAACAAGCAUUGUUCUCUUCAGUGUAUUAUCUGUGCCUGGAUUUGCACUGAUAGCUCAUGAAUGCAUUAUUUUCUAUUUUUGAAUUUUGCUUUGCUGCAAUGGGUAGGCGACCUGUCCAGGCGUACCCUGCCUCUCGCCCAUAGCCAGCAGGGAUACGCUCCAGCACCCCCGCGACCCCGCAUAUGGUAUUAAGUGGUAUGGAAAAUGGAUGGAUGGAUGGAAUUUUGCUUUGUUGUGUAAAAAACUAAAAACAUAAAUAAUGAGGAAGAGGUAAUCAGUGGAAAAAUGACUGUAUUUAUACAUGUUACUUAAUCAUUACUUUCUUGGUUCAGUGUUUUCAAAAAUUAUAAGAAAUUUAAAUUAAUAAAUAUAUUUUUAAAACCUAUUAUCA
Betta splendens (Siamese fighting fish) is the source of this 2207-nucleotide long non-coding RNA. Lineage: Eukaryota; Metazoa; Chordata; Actinopteri; Anabantiformes; Osphronemidae. The record is from Ensembl.